RNAcentral lists this long non-coding RNA (907 nucleotides) under Nicotiana benthamiana. Its description in RNAcentral is "long non-coding RNA (NBEN_LNC042509)". Lineage: Eukaryota; Viridiplantae; Streptophyta; Magnoliopsida; Solanales; Solanaceae. The record is from RNAcentral.
AAAAGCGUGAAAUCAAAUUAAAAUAGCAAGAAGGGGGAAAUAACCCAAGUGAACCUUAAAUUUAAUUGACUUACAAUUCUGAAAAUGCUAGUUUGCGUCUAGGGAAUUAGGCCGACAUAAAUCGAUCUAAAUUCCGUAUCAAAACACAAAUCAACCAUAUUUCCAUCCUAGUACAAAUUGAGCAAAAACAGAUUGACCAUAACAAGGAAUAGCAAAACCACAACCAAAUACUGUUAAGGAAUCAUGAGCAAGGAGAUGAGAUAUUAAAUCCAAGAUUCAAGUCAAAAUAGGUUAACAAACUACAAAAGCGUGAAAUAAAAUUAAAAUAGCAUGAAGGGGGGAAAUAACCCGAGUGAACCUUAAAUUUAAUUGACUUACAAUUCUGAAAAAGCUAGUCGACGGAACGAACAGGAGAACUAACGAGGUUUAAGCCAGAAAAUCUCGCCGAGAAUCUCAUCGAAUGCUAACCGGACUGCCUCCACUUCAAAACAAAAUCAAGCAGCUUGCCUCCAUGAAUUCCGAUUGAGGGAGAACUGAAGCUUUGUGUAGCAAGUUAUUCUGAAACUCAGAGAAUCGAACGGUAACUGAUAGGUUACGGUGGUUAAUUUUCGCCGGCUUUAGGCGAAUCUCGUCGGCGAUGGAGAUGAGACUAGAAAAACGAAUGAGAUAGAGAGAGAGAGAGAGGGAUUUGAAGAUGAAGGAGGCGGCUGUGUUUGAUUUUUAUGUCUUGUGCCUCUGUGUGUUAAUGAUGAAGCAGAAAUGGCUUCCGAUGAGAAAGGUCGUGCGCGGGCUGGUCUCCGGCAGGUUUUGUGAAGGGAGUGGUGUGAGCAAGAUGGGUUUCAAGGGAGGUCAUUUUUCUGUGCCAAAGCUACACAGCCUCUUUCCUAAAUAUAGUCUAAGAUCCGAU